Molecule: ribosomal RNA, 253 nt
Filed under: uncultured bacterium
Lineage: Bacteria
Description: partial 16S ribosomal RNA
Rfam family: Bacterial small subunit ribosomal RNA
Source: RNAcentral
UACAGAGGGGGCAAGCGUUGUUCGGAAUUACUGGGCGUAAAGCGUGCGCAGGCGGUUUUGUAAGUCUGACGUGAAAUCCCCGGGCUCAACCUGGGAAUUGCGUUGGAGACUGCAAGGCUGGAGUCUGGCAGAGGGGGGUAGAAUUCCACGUGUAGCAGUGAAAUGCGUAGAGAUGUGGAGGAACACCGAUGGCGAAGGCAGCCCCCUGGGUCAAGACUGACGCUCAUGCACGAAAGCGUGGGGAGCAAACAGG